This 764-nucleotide ribosomal RNA is filed under the name uncultured bacterium. Its description in RNAcentral is "bacterial SSU rRNA". It matches the Rfam family "Bacterial small subunit ribosomal RNA", at positions 1 to 771 of the family's 1533-position model. The record is from RNAcentral.
CCCUUAGAGUUUGAUCCUGGCUCAGGACGAACGCUGGCGGCGUGCUUAACACAUGCAAGUCGAGCGGUAAGGCUCCUUCGGGAGUACACGAGCGGCGAACGGGUGAGUAACACGUGAGUAAUCUGCCCUUCACUUCGGGAUAAGCGCCGGAAACGGCGUCUAAUACCGAAUACGACGCGCUUUCGCAUGAGAUGCACGUGGAAAGUCUUAUCGGUGGAGGAUGUGCUCGCGGCCUAUCAGCUUGUUGGUGAGGUAACGGCUCACCAAGGCUUCGACGGGUAGCCGGCCUGAGAGGGUGACCGGCCACACUGGGACUGAGACACGGCCCAGACUCCUACGGGAGGCAGCAGUGGGGAAUAUUGGACAAUGGGCGAAAGCCUGAUCCAGCAACGCCGCGUGAGGGAUGACGGCCUUCGGGUUGUAAACCUCUUUCAGUACCGACGAAGCGCCAAUAACGGUGGUGACGGUAGGUACAGAAGAAGGACCGGCCAACUACGUGCCAGCAGCCGCGGUAAUACGUAGGGUCCGAGCGUUGUCCGGAAUUAUUGGGCGUAAAGGGCUCGUAGGCGGUCUGUUGCGUCGGGAGUGAAAACUUACAGCUUAACUGUGAGCGUGCUUCCGAUACGGGCAGACUUGAGGUAUUCAGGGGAGAACGGAAUUCCUGGUGUAGCGGUGAAAUGCGCAGAUAUCAGGAGGAAACACCGGUGGCGAAAGCGGUUCUCUGGGAAUAUCCUGACGCUGAGGAGCGAAAGUGUGGGGAGCGA